AAAAGAAAAAAAAAAUCCAAUCUUAAAAGAAAAUCUACAUCAUAAUUAUGAUUUCGUACCUGCUACAAUUACAAAUAUGACAAACUAUCAUUAUUAAUGAGAAACAUAUACAUGUUUGAACAUUGAAGACAAAAAAUUAAUACUCAUAUUUCUUUCUCAAAUAGUAACUAAUAGCGUAGAAAAUUUAACAAAUGCACACAGUAUUUAAUAAUUUAUGAAAUUAUAAAAAGUAUAAUACUUUAAAUGCGGAUGCUUGUGCCACCUGCCCUUAAUAACUAAGGGUCAUGGAUGGGAAUAGCCAAACCUUCCCAGCCUAGCCCAUUCCUACUUCUCAUUCAAGCUUUCAAUAUGUUGAGAUACGUGGGUCACAUUCAGGCUAAUGAUUUUGAAUACAUUUAAAAACAGGAAACGUUCAAAUUUACAUAUUUAGGUCCA
RNAcentral lists this unclassified non-coding RNA (435 nucleotides) under Hevea brasiliensis (rubber tree). The record is from RNAcentral. Lineage: Eukaryota; Viridiplantae; Streptophyta; Magnoliopsida; Malpighiales; Euphorbiaceae.